GUGCUCGCUUCGGCAGCACAUAUACUAAAAUUGGAACGAUACAGAGAAGAUUAGCAUGGCCCCUGCACAAGGAUGACAUGAAGUGUUCCAUAUUUUG
Small nuclear RNA from Ictidomys tridecemlineatus (thirteen-lined ground squirrel), 97 nucleotides. NCBI's taxonomy places the organism in Eukaryota, Metazoa, Chordata, Mammalia, Rodentia, Sciuridae. The record is from Ensembl.